AGAUUGAACGCUGGCGGCAUGCCUUACACAUGCAAGUCGAACGGUAACGCGGGGGCAACCCUGGCGACGAGUGGCGAACGGGUGAGUAAUACAUCGGAACGUACCCAGUAGUGGGGGAUAGCUCGGCGAAAAGCCGGAUUAAUACCGCAUACGACCUACGGGUGAAAGCGGGGGAUCGAAAGACCUCGCGCUAUUGGAGCGGCCGAUGUCGGAUUAGCUAGUUGGUGAGGUAAAGGCUCACCAAGGCUACGAUCCGUAGCUGGUCUGAGAGGACGACCAGCCACACUGGGACUGAGACACGGCCCAGACUCCUACGGGAGGCAGCAGUGGGGAAUUUUGGACAAUGGGCGAAAGCCUGAUCCAGCCAUGCCGCGUGUGUGAAGAAGGCCUUCGGGUUGUAAGCACUUUUGUUCGGAACGAACGCCAAGGUCGAAUAAACCUUGGUAAUGACGGUACCGGAAGAAUAAGCACCGGCUAACUACGUGCCAGCAGCCGCGGU
RNAcentral lists this ribosomal RNA (499 nucleotides) under uncultured bacterium. RNAcentral describes it as "SSU rRNA". It matches the Rfam family "Bacterial small subunit ribosomal RNA", at positions 26 to 521 of the family's 1533-position model. The record is from RNAcentral.